Molecule: small nucleolar RNA, 84 nt
Organism: Anser brachyrhynchus (Pink-footed goose)
Lineage: Eukaryota; Metazoa; Chordata; Aves; Anseriformes; Anatidae
Source: Ensembl
AGGCUGCGUAUGAUGACAACAUAGUUCAGCAGAAGAUCAGUGGUGAUCACUUUUUCAGUCUUUCGCUCCUAUCUGAUGCAGCCU